GUUAUAUGGUCAAGUGACUAAGCGCAUACGGUGGAUGCCUAGGCGGUAGAAGGCGAUGAAGGACGUGGUAGUCUGCGAUAAGCCUCGGGGAGUCGACAAACUGGCUUUGAUCCGAGGAUUUCCGAAUGGGGAAACCCACCUCUUUGAGGUAUCAACAUCUGAAUAGAUAGGGUGUUGAAGCGAACCCGGGGAACUGAAACAUCUAAGUACCCGGAGGAAAAGAAAUCAACCGAGAUUCCCUCAGUAGCGGCGAGCGAACGGGGAUCAGCCCUUAAGCUGAUUAUUGGUUAGUGGAACGCUCUGGAAAGUGCGGCCAUAGUGGGUGAUAGCCCCGUACAUUAAAACCAGUUUUCAGUGAAAACGAGUAGGGCGGGACACGUGUUAUCCUGUCUGAAUAUGGGGGGACCAUCCUCCAAGGCUAAAUACUCUCUACCGACCGAUAGUGAACCAGUACCGUGAGGGAAAGGCGAAAAGAACCCCGGCGAGGGGAGUGAAAUAGAACCUGAAACCGUAUGCGUACAAGCAGUGGGAGCCCCUUUAGGGGGGUGACUGCGUACCUUUUGUAUAAUGGGUCAGCGACUUACUUUCAGUGGCAAGGUUAACCGUUUAGGGGAGCCGUAGGGAAACCGAGUCUUAAUAGGGCGUUCAGUCGCUGGGAGUAGACCCGAAACCGGGCGAUCUAUCCAUGGCCAGGUUGAAGGUGGGGUAACACCCACUGGAGGACCGAACCG
Molecule: ribosomal RNA, 731 nt
Filed under: Gammaproteobacteria bacterium
Lineage: Bacteria; Pseudomonadati; Pseudomonadota; Gammaproteobacteria
Description: partial 23S ribosomal RNA
Rfam family: Bacterial large subunit ribosomal RNA
Source: RNAcentral